AUUGAACGCUGGCGGAAUGCUUUACACAUGCAAGUCGAACGGCAGCACGGGGGCAACCCUGGUGGCGAGUGGCGAACGGAUGAGUAAUACAUCGGAACGUGCCCGGUCGUGGGGGAUAACGUAGCGAAAGUUACGCUAAUACCGCAUACGAUCUGAGGAUGAAAGCGGGGGACCUUCGGGCCUCGCGCGAUCGGAGCGGCCGAUGUCAGAUUAGGUAGUUGGUGGGGUAAAGGCCUACCAAGCCGACGAUCUGUAGCUGGUCUGAGAGGACGACCAGCCACACUGGGACUGAGACACGGCCCAGACUCCUACGGGAGGCAGCAGUGGGGAAUUUUGGACAAUGGGCGCAAGCCUGAUCCAGCCAUUCCGCGUGCAGGACGAAGGCCUUCGGGUUGUAAACUGCUUUUGUAUGGAACGAAAAGGCUCUGGCUAAUACCUGGGGCUCAUGACGGUACCGUAAGAAUAAGCACCGGCUAACUACGUG
This 484-nucleotide ribosomal RNA is filed under the name uncultured bacterium. RNAcentral's name for it is "partial 16S ribosomal RNA". It matches the Rfam family "Bacterial small subunit ribosomal RNA", at positions 30 to 507 of the family's 1533-position model. The record is from RNAcentral.